Molecule: ribosomal RNA, 1107 nt
Filed under: Triticum aestivum (bread wheat)
Lineage: Eukaryota; Viridiplantae; Streptophyta; Magnoliopsida; Poales; Poaceae
Description: partial small subunit ribosomal RNA
Source: RNAcentral
AUGCUUCAUCGGAAGAGAGAACUUUAUUCUCCCAAUUCCCGAACCUUCCCCCAAAACUACGCCUUGUGCCGUUUACGGAAUACCGAAUCUAUCGCAAACCGUAACACCGAUGCGCCCUUCCCGGUACAGCCGCUCGCAAAAUCUCUUUCCACGAAGAGGCGCCUCGCCGCCUCCCCCUCCCGAAUGCCCGCGCCGCGGCAGCUGCCCCUCCUCCUGAAGAUCGCCGCCGCGUCGGCCGCCGGCGCAUUGGCGUUCGUCGCGGCGGCGCGCCUCCUGCGGGAUGACGCGGUCUCCUCCCUCCGCCGGGACAUCCGCGAGGCCGUCGCCGCCCUCGUCUCCAGCAACGAGGACGGCGACGGCGGCGAGGACCAGGGGGACGAGGACGCGCCGCCGCCGUCCAUCCUGAUCACGGGGUUCCGGGCCCACGGGAAGAGCUCGCUCGUGAACACGGCGUGCCGCGCGCUCGCCGGCGAGGUGGGCCCGCUGCUGCUGCGCGCGGAGGCGUCGCCGCCGGGCGGCGGGUCCGACAGCACGAGGAAGCGGCUGAAGGUGAAGGCGGUGGUCUCCGGCGCGGACGGGGAAAUGGGGGCGGAGGAGGCGGUGGUGGAGCUGCUGGACGCGCCGCCGCUCCCUGACGCCGCGAGGCUGACGAGGGAUGCGAUCGACGACGCGAUCAGCAGCGGGAACCCGGAGUGCGUGGUGCUGGUGCUGCGAUGCGACGCGCCCGCCAAGGAGCGGAAUGCGGCCAUCAAGCGCCUGCCGGAGAUCUCUGCCGCCGCGAGGGCGAAAGGGCUUAAUUUGAUUAUUGCAUUGACUUUUAAGAAGUCCGUGAGUUCAGUAAGGCAAGCUGAAGAGCUUCUAAGAGAGGUUUCGUUCAGGGCAAGGACGGAUUGUGUAUACUUCAUCGAGAACUACACCUGGAGCAACAGUGGCUCCAACCUCCUCCACCCCCCUGUCAUCAAGAAUGACUUUGGGACAGAUUUCACCGUGCUGACAAUCAUUCGACAGUGUCUUGAGUUCAUCAAGCUAAAUAGGAGUCAAAAGGAUAAGAGAGACCCCAAGCAGGCAGACACACAGGCAGAUGCUAAAACAGCCCCUAAAGUUUAG